GGAAUGCAGUUUGUGGACUGGGCGAGGUGGAGUGGUGUGCAGUAACUUUAUGCUUCUUUUCUCUUUCGGGCAUUCUCAGCGAGGAUCAUCAGUGUUUCUUCACUCGAAAUCAAAACCUUAGGGUUAGAGAUGGAGGCGACUUAUAACUAAGCCAACUAGUUUUGUCACUUGUUUGUGCUUCUAGCUCAAUAAUUCCAUCCUUGUUGUAUUCUAGUUGAUGAAGUGAGUUUUGGUUACAUCAAAUAUCAAAGGAAACAUGUUUGCUCCAUGUGAUGUGUGAGCUUGAGACACGUCACGAGUUCGAACCCUGUAUUUAAGUGGGGAAGG
Molecule: unclassified non-coding RNA, 327 nt
Filed under: Hevea brasiliensis (rubber tree)
Lineage: Eukaryota; Viridiplantae; Streptophyta; Magnoliopsida; Malpighiales; Euphorbiaceae
Source: RNAcentral